UAGGGAAUAUUGGACAAUGGGCGAAAGCCUGAUCCAGCAACGCCGCGCGCACGAUGAAGGCCUUCGGGUUGUAAAGUGCUUUUAAGGGAGAUGAGAAAGGACAGUAUCCCUUGAAUAAGCCUCGGCGAACUACGUGCCAGCAGCCGCGGUAAAACGUAGGAGGCAAGCGUUAUCCGGAUUUACUGGGCGUAAAGCGCGUGCAGGCUGUUUGGAAAGUUGGAUGUGAAAGCUCCUGGCUUAACUGGGAGAGGUCGUUCAAAACUACCAAGCUAGAGAAUGGGAGAGGGAAGUGGAAUUCCCAGUGUAGCAGUGAAAUGCGUAGAUAUUGGGAGGAACACCAGUGGCGAAGGCGGCCACCUGGCCGGCAACUGACGCUGAGGUGCGAAAGCGUGGGGAUCAAACA
Molecule: ribosomal RNA, 403 nt
Filed under: uncultured prokaryote
Description: bacterial SSU rRNA
Rfam family: Bacterial small subunit ribosomal RNA
Source: RNAcentral